AUUGAACGCUGGCGGCAGGCCUAACAAAUGCAAGUCGAGCGAGCGGCGGACGGGUGCGUAAUGUAUGGGGACUGCCCGAUAGAGGGGGAUAAAUACUGGAAAAGGUAGCUAAUAACGCAUACUAUGGGCUAACCAAUAUGGGAUUAGCUAGUAGGUGAGGUAAUGGCUCACCUAGGCGACGAACCCUAGCUGGUCUUAGAGGAUGUUCAGCCACACUGGGACUGAGACACGGCCCAGACUCCUACGGAGGCAGCAGUUGGGAAUAUUGCACAAUGGGCGCAAGCCUUAUGCAGCCAUGCCGCGUGUAUGAAGAAUGCCCUAGGGUUGUAAAGUACUUUCAGUCGGGAGGCGUUACCGACAGAAGAAGCACCGGCUAACUCCGUGCCAGCAGCCGCGGUAAUAC
RNAcentral lists this ribosomal RNA (403 nucleotides) under uncultured bacterium. RNAcentral describes it as "partial 16S ribosomal RNA". It matches the Rfam family "Bacterial small subunit ribosomal RNA", at positions 30 to 526 of the family's 1533-position model. The record is from RNAcentral.